Bombus impatiens (common eastern bumble bee) is the source of this 1801-nucleotide long non-coding RNA. RefSeq lists it as uncharacterized. The record is from RefSeq and is a predicted model, not a curated record. Lineage: Eukaryota; Metazoa; Arthropoda; Insecta; Hymenoptera; Apidae. The transcript has 3 exons.
UACUUACACAUCUAUUUAAUCAAUCUUAAAGUACAAAUAUUAUACGUUUAUAUUUUUAUAUAUUCGCGGAAGGAUGUGCGCAGGUACCAUGUUGUACUGCUGAAUUGUAGCCAAUCAAGAAGCAGUGCUGUGAGCAAUUCGAAAUAAUAACGGUUAACCGACACGAGGCACCGCACAGUCGUUCUGUGGAUUCGCACGUGGUCAGAUGUGCAUCGUGUUGAAGGAUGCCUACAAUGUGGAUAUAUAUCAGUUAGUAAUGAAUGCUAAACAAAAAGUUACAAAGUUAAUUUGUUAAAUUUUGAUAGAAGAAAAUGUAUAAAUACAAAAGAUGUAACACGUGAUCGAUCAUUGAUUUAUUUAAGAAUAAAUAAUGGGUGGCACCCAUGUAUAAAUGUAUUUACAGAUUCUUAUGGAAUCGGAAGAUCGAACUGCCAUGAUUGUUUCAAAUGUAUUCCAACAAGAGUUAAUUAUAUCCAUAUUGCUCAUAUGUCACUGUUACAUUUCAUAAAUUAAAUUGGUGCUCAAAAUCUUUGGAUCUCCAGAAUCUUAUGCAUGGAUUUUGUGUUAUUCAACUAAACCUAUUCUCUUGUAAGGUAAAUCAUAAAUCUUCUCUUACGUUGGUAUGGUGAGUCUUUUUUUAUUAUCUUUGUUAUGAAAUGUAUGUAAUCAUGCGUCCUCCUUUUUAUUAUGACGGAUUUAAAUGAUGUAUCGCAUGUCUUUACCAAUGAAUGCUGCUCGAUACGAUAAGUGCUGUAUUAAAAAUAUAAUUAAAAACAUCGGACCUGCGGAGUGAGAUCUCUAUUUAUUACGCGCUGCCUGCGUAUAGAAAAGAGUAAAAAUCACCGUGGUCUUGUCGCGGCUGGCGGUCAAACUUCUAUUUGAAAUUGUUUGUGUCGUGCAUCCCAACUGUUAACGCCAAUCGUCGCAAUCUUGGAUUCUCAGGUUGAUCGCGCCAUUUCGUUUAGCGAAUGUUUUCCUUUUUUUCUUCGGGUAACUAAUUAGUUACCCGAUUUUAUUUAUUUCUUUUUUGGAAUUCUUUCGUAUAUAGUUUACAUAAACAUAACGUAUUCCUAAAAAAUGUUCUCUUUGUCCAACGAACUGUUGAUUUCUAUACAACCUCCCCUGGUUAUGUGGCGCACGCGUAACAUUCACGUAUCGCGUUACGUGCGUUGCCAUUCCACACUAUUCGUAUCCUUUUUUUAUACCAUUACUUGAAUAUAGAAUUAUAGAAAACGUUUAAAAGUACAAAAUACAGAAAUAUAGAAAUUAUAAAAAUAUGAGAAUAAAAAGAUACAAAACUAUCAAAAUUACAGAAACUCUGAUUAAACAUUAGUACGUAUAUUCUACACUCGUUUUGUAUUACAUAUACACUUUUUAUAUUAUAUACAUGAACCAAAAUAGAAUGUAUAAAGUAUAUUUUAUAUAACAUGCUUCAUAUCUCACUCUUUUCUUAAUCAUCACAUUUGAUCACAGACAUUUUCCUUUCACAAUUUCCGUAGGCUUUUCUUCUGUACCUUUACUCAGCUGCAUAUCAUUUUUUACUUCCCUCUUUUUCUUUUCUCUCCCUCAUACGAGUCGUGAUUAAAAAGAUCGUUGAAUCUUUCUCUUAUUUGAGAAAAUAUUUACUUGUUCGUCUAUAUUUAAGUUAUUCCCUUUGAAUAUAAUAUUUUUUUGCCAGCGUGUCUUCCAAUCAUUAACAUAUUUCUAAAAAUACUUUCUUCUAUAGUGCAUAGUUCACAUAACUAUUUUUGUUUUAUUUUUUUAUUCUGGAGAAUAACAAAUAAUCGCAAGGGAGCGAUCA